UUGCCGAAUGUUUGAAAGAUCUGAGCACAGGAAGCCAAAGAGAUGAGAGAGGUUUCCUGUCUGCGCUGUUGGACAAAGAGUUACAUGUAGGCGUAUUUUGAUGGGAAGAAACCUCACUGAGAUCACUCGGCUGACUCCUGCAAUACCGAAGCUGCACUGUGAUGGACUGGCCACCUGUCCAUGGUGUUUCCCUGCCUUCGGCCCGAGACAGCUGGGAUAGGCUCCAGCACUACCCACGACCCUGCAUAGGACAAGUGGCUAUAGAAGAUAUAGAGUGUGAAUGUUUGCAUUUUUUUGUAUUGUCUUGUAUACUAUUCCACUUUGUGGGGGGCCAAAGGCAAAUUUCCAUGAGAGUGGACAAUAAAGAUUCAAUCUAAAAUGUAAAAAUAUUGUCUAUAUUCCUGCGAGUAUCAGUGGUUGUUGUCCAGCAUAAUGAAACAUUCUGGGUCUAAACAAAGUAAUGAACUGUAAGUCUAUAAUCCUGGAUGUAGUUAAAAUUGCAUGAUUCAUCUGAACCAGUAAGCUUGAAGAAAUGUGUUUUUGUACAUUCAGAAGUUCCAAACGUGUGCUAUAGACGCAAUUCUGUUCAAUGGCCAGCAGUCACACCCUUGACUAUCUCUCAUUCUAACAAAACUGCCUAACAGAUGAACACAAGAACUGUCCCAGACUAACCUGUUCUUCAUGCUUAAAGGAACAGAAGAAAUAAAAAUUC
This is a long non-coding RNA of Myxocyprinus asiaticus (Chinese sucker), 712 nucleotides long. RefSeq lists it as uncharacterized. The record is from RefSeq and is a predicted model, not a curated record. The transcript has 3 exons. Lineage: Eukaryota; Metazoa; Chordata; Actinopteri; Cypriniformes; Catostomidae.